Molecule: ribosomal RNA, 878 nt
Filed under: Valsaria insitiva
Lineage: Eukaryota; Fungi; Ascomycota; Dothideomycetes; Valsariales; Valsariaceae
Description: eukaryotic LSU rRNA
Rfam family: Eukaryotic large subunit ribosomal RNA
Source: RNAcentral
UUAUCCCCCGUCGAAUCUACAAACAGGGAUUGCCUCAGUAACGGCGAGUGAAGCGGCAACAGCUCAAAUUUGAAAUCUGGCCCCCUCGGGGCCCGAGUUGUAAUUUGCAGAGGGUGCUUCGGCGUCGGCUCCGGUCUAAGUUCCUUGGAACAGGACGUCACAGAGGGUGAGAGCCCCGUACGUGGCCGGCAGCCUUCGCCGUGUGAAGCCCCUUCGACGAGUCGAGUUGUUUGGGAAUGCAGCUCUAAAUGGGAGGUAAAUUUCUUCUAAAGCUAAAUACCGGCUAGAGACCGAUAGCGCACAAGUAGAGUGAUCGAAAGAUGAAAAGCACUUUGGAAAGAGAGUUAAAAAGCACGUGAAAUUGUUGAAAGGGAAGCAGUUGCAGCCAGACUUGGCCGCGAGCGCUCAUCCGGGCUUCUGCCCGGUGCACUCGCCCGCGGUCAGGCCAGCAUCAGUUCGGGCGGCCGGAUAAAGGUCCCGGGAAUGUGGCUCCCCUCGGGGAGUGUUAUAGCCCGGGGCGCAAUACGGCCAGCCUGGACUGAGGUCCGCGCUUCGGCUAGGAUGCUGGCGUAAUGGCUGUAACUGGCCCGUCUUGAAACACGGACCAAGGAGUCUAACAUCUAUGCGAGUGCUUGGGUGUCAAACCCAUGCGCGUAAUGAAAGUGAACGGAGGUGAGAGCCGCAAGGCGCAUCAUCGACCGAUCCUGAUGUCUUCGGAUGGAUUUGAGUAUGAGCAUAGCUGUUGGGACCCGAAAGAUGGUGAACUAUGCCUGAACAGGGUGAAGCCAGAGGAAACUCUGGUGGAGGCUCGCAGCGGUUCUGACGUGCAAAUCGAUCGUCAAAUUUGGGUAUAGGGGCGAAAGACUAAUCGAACCAUC